Molecule: long non-coding RNA, 76 nt
Organism: Etheostoma spectabile (orangethroat darter)
Lineage: Eukaryota; Metazoa; Chordata; Actinopteri; Perciformes; Percidae
Exons: 3
Source: RefSeq, a predicted model, not a curated record
GAAAAUAAUAAAAUUAAGAUGGCUGAAUUCUAUUUAGCUACUUUAGUUUCAGCGUCCUUAAAUUGUGCAUACUUGC